AUGGAGGGUGUAGAAAAGAAGAAGAAGAAGGCUCCUGCUGUGCCAGAAACCCUUAAGAAAAAGCGAAGGAAUUUCACAGAGCUGAAGAUCAAGCGCCUGAGAAAGAAGUUUGCCCAAAAGAUGCUUCAAAAGGCAAGGAGGAAGCUUAUCUAUGAAAAAGCGAAGCACUACCACAAGGAAUAUAGGCAGAUGUACAGAACCGAAAUUCGAAUGGUGAGGAUGGCAAGAAAAGCUGGCAACUUCUAUGUACCUGCUGAACCCAAAUUGGCGUUCGUCAUCAGGAUCAGAGGUAUCAAUGGUGUGAGCCCAAAGGUCCGAAAGGUAUUGCAGCUUCUUCGCCUUCGUCAAAUCUCCAAUGGAAUCUUUCUGAAGCUCAACAAGGCUUCGAUUAACAUGCUGAGGAUUGUAGAGCCAUAUAUUGCAUGGGGGUAUCCCAAUCUGAAGUCAGUAAAUGAGCUAAUCUACAAGCGUGGUUAUGGCAAAAUCAAUAAAAAGCGAAUUGAUUUGACGUAACGCUUUGAUUGCUCAAUCUCUUGGUAAAUAUGGCAUCAUCUGCAUGGAGGAUCUGAUUCAUGAGAUCUAUACUGUUGGAAAACGCUUCAAAGAGGCAAAUAACUUCCUGUGGCCCUUCAAAUUAUCUUCUCCACGAGGUGGAAUGAAGAAAAAGACCACCCAUUUUGUACAAGGUGGAGAUGCUGGCAACAGGAAGGACCAGAUCAACAGGCUUAUUAGAAGAAUGAACUAAGGUGUCUACCAUGAUUAUUUUUCUAGGCUCAUCAGUUAAUA
Chlorocebus sabaeus (green monkey) is the source of this 786-nucleotide non-coding RNA. Lineage: Eukaryota; Metazoa; Chordata; Mammalia; Primates; Cercopithecidae. The record is from RefSeq and is a predicted model, not a curated record.